Molecule: long non-coding RNA, 793 nt
Filed under: Ictidomys tridecemlineatus (thirteen-lined ground squirrel)
Lineage: Eukaryota; Metazoa; Chordata; Mammalia; Rodentia; Sciuridae
Description: lncRNA (ENSSTOG00000029952.1)
Source: RNAcentral
GAGAACCAAAUAACUUCUGUAUUCUCUAAAGAGGUCUUUGACUUCUUUGGAGAAAAGACAAAUCCCGCAGAGGACGGAAACUGAAAGAUUGUCUCCAUGGCUGAGUUUGGGGACUGAGAUUAAGAAGGAACCAAUUGAUCCCUGGAGAGCAUCACUCUUGCUCUGGCAGUGACUGAGGUUCCAUAUCCACAGAUCCCUAAAAACUUGCUCAGGCUCUCUGGACCCUGGACAUAUCCAGGGAAGAAAACCAUUUGAGACGGGAGCGAUGAAAAAGAGGGAACAGGACAGACAGAGCUGCUGCGGUUAAGAAGGCAAUACCCUUUGGACAACUGUGGAGCCCAUCUAACUCUCUGAACCUCAGAACCUGUGGACUCUCCAAACCUCGGCUUGUCCCUUCUCCAGCAGCAAGUCCCUUCACCACUUCCCACGCUCACCUCCACACCUCUCAUUACCACCUCAAGCGUGAAGACUCAAGAUUACAGCUUUUCUGCAUGGAGUUCAAAUCCCUCCACAAGCUGGUCUGUGUUGAUGUCUCUCACUCAGAGUCAUGAUGCCGUGGUGCAGAAGGAACAUCGACGGUGCCCUCAGCUCCUGCGCUCUUCCCUGGAGUGUUAACGCCACCUUAUAGGAAUCUUGAUGCCUGUUCCUGGCUGGGGAAAUCGGGAUCAGCUGUGGUGAGUCAUGACUCCCCGUCUAGUGUCCCAGACAUUUUCUGGUUGUAGCAGAGUUAAGGACUUGACUUUAGUUUUCUUUCAUUUUUGUCUUUUCCUUCUGUUUUCUGUCUUUUUUUUUU